Molecule: ribosomal RNA, 253 nt
Filed under: uncultured bacterium
Lineage: Bacteria
Description: partial 16S ribosomal RNA
Rfam family: Bacterial small subunit ribosomal RNA
Source: RNAcentral
UACGUAGGGGGCAAGCGUUGUCCGGAAUCAUUGGGCGUAAAGCGCGCGUAGGCGGCCCGGUAAGUCCGUUGUGAGAGUCAAAGGCUCAACCUUUGAACGCCGAUGGAUACUGCCGGGCUAGAGUCCGGAAGAGGCGAGUGGAAUUCCUGGUGUAGCGGUGGAAUGCGCAGAUAUCAGGAGGAACACCAAUAGCGAAGGCAGCUCGCUGGGACGGUACUGACGCUGAGGCGCGAAAGCGUGGGGAGCGAACAGG